Molecule: long non-coding RNA, 256 nt
Filed under: Phaseolus vulgaris (common bean)
Lineage: Eukaryota; Viridiplantae; Streptophyta; Magnoliopsida; Fabales; Fabaceae
Description: long non-coding RNA (PVUL_LNC003006)
Source: RNAcentral
AAAAUUUUGCUUUUAAAAGGUCUAGAGUCUUAUCAACUCCAAAAUGGCCCAUGAGUCCCCCCUCAUGUGAUUCUUUGACAAGGAGUUUCCUAUGUGUUCCUUGGGGAAUGCAAAGUUUUCCCUCUUUAAAAAGAUAUCCCUCGGACACAUAGUAACCUCCUUGCGCUCUAUGUAGACAUUGGGCAUAGAUGGAUGAGAGUUCUUGAUCUUCUUGGUAAAGCUCUCUUAUGUGGUCAAAUCCAAGAAUUUGGGCACC